UACGUAGGUGGCAAGCGUUGUCCGGAUUUACUGGGCGUAAAGGGCGUGCAGGCGGUCUGUUAAGUUCAGGGUGAAAGCUCCCGGCUCAACUGGGAGAGGUCCUUGGAUACUGGCAGACUUGAGGAGGGUAGAGGAGAGUGGAAUUCCCGGUGUAGUGGUGAUAUGCGUAGAUAUCGGGAGGAACACCAAUGGCGAAGGCAGCUCGCUGGGACGGUACUGACGCUGAGACGCGAAAGCGUGGGGAGCAAACAGG
Molecule: ribosomal RNA, 253 nt
Filed under: uncultured bacterium
Lineage: Bacteria
Description: partial 16S ribosomal RNA
Rfam family: Bacterial small subunit ribosomal RNA
Source: RNAcentral